Thamnophis sirtalis is the source of this 1611-nucleotide long non-coding RNA. RefSeq lists it as uncharacterized. Lineage: Eukaryota; Metazoa; Chordata; Lepidosauria; Squamata; Natricidae. The record is from RefSeq and is a predicted model, not a curated record.
CUCAGGCGAGCGAGCUGGGCUUCCCUUCCUCCCGGCGCUCGGGGCUGCCUGGCGCGACCGGGCUUCCUGCUUUUGUUCUUUCUGUGCCCUCAGAGCAGCGGGCGGCGAGGUGACAUUGACGCUUGGAACACCCCACAACCCCCGCCCUGCAUAACCUUAAAAGAUUAAAACAAAAAAAAUGUUAAAGCUUUCUCAAUAAGAGGACGGUGUUUUCCUUUCUUUGCCGUCGACCGUAGCAAUAAGCAGGACCAUUUUCCCUUCUAUUCCUGUUUGCUUCAAGGAAAGCUAAAAAUGGCCUGAAAACUGUUUUCAUUGAACUACCGAAUCAAUGGUAUAUGUAAAAAUAAGUCACUAUCAUCAAGCAUUAGCAGGAAAAGCUUUAUAAGUGAUAAUCAGCACCUUGAAUUCCAUUGAGAAGCCUAUUAGGAGCCAGUGCAAUUAGCAGACUAGAGACAGAAAGUUAUUUGGUGGGUUGCUAAGUAUCAAUUUGGAAGUCUCUUAUCUGCUGACAGCUGCACUCUCUAGAUGUCAAGGAAUAGUACUUGCUUAAAGAAGAAAAAAUGAUGACAUAAUGUACAUAAUGGCAUGGGUCCAGGUUACAUGAGGAACUGUCUCACCCAGGAAGUCUUAAUGACUGUUGGCCCACUCCACCUCCGCCAGCAGAGAGGGCAUAUGUGGAUCCCAUUGAUCAAGAAAUUGUGACUGGCAGUGUCUAGGAGAAGAGCCUUCUCUGACGUGGCUCUUGCAUUUUGGAACAUCUUACCAGCUCAGCAGGUACCUGGAGGAACUUUCACUGCUUUUAGAAGCUUGCUUAACUAGGAAAACUACCAAGGAACAUGAGGACUGUAGGCUAUACUGGGAACCUAGACAACAGAUCAGAAAGCUGUGGCAAACCAGGAAAAAUGCAUCUUUGUGUCCUUUUAGUAGCCAUGAAAAUGUGUCUUUUUAAAAAAAUACAUAUGAAUAUGUAUAUGUCUAUAUAUCUUUGUUGCCAACAAUGGAAUGUACACAUGCAUAACUAAUACAAUGUAUAUUUUAAAAGUUUAUUUGACACAGAGGAAAAAGAGGAAUGAAAGUUAUAUCUCAGGUGGGCAGAAGAAAUUUCUUAUUGCUGCCAAAGAUUUGUAUUUAUAAAUUAUAACUGCCCUCCAUAUUUUCUGUUAUUCGUAUGUAUACAUAUUGAAUACAUAUUCAUAUAUAUUUAAGCAUGCAUAAAGAUUGCUUAUAUUCAUUCCCAAGCCAGCAAAACCAAAAUGAAGAAGGGAUUUAGUUUUCUGGGCCACAAGAAAUAUCCCCGAAGAGCAGCAAGCUCCAUAUUUGAUGACUGCUAAAAUAGUUGGUAAUUCAGUUGUGUUGAACACCAUCAGUUUGUUCAGAUGUUUCCUACAUCAUAUCAUUUUACAUUUUGCAUAUCCAUUUGACUAAUGUAUUGUUAUUAAUAUUUUUCUAUAAAAGUAAAAUAUAUUAAACUUGGAGCUUUUGUUACUCCAUAUUAUUUAGCUCUAAAAGAUCAAAUUUUAUUUUUGUCUGUCUGCAUUUAAAUAAUAUAUCUUUAAUGUCUACUUAACCUUCUGUUAACCUGUUCCAUUAAAAUUCUUCAGACACACUGUA